RNAcentral lists this long non-coding RNA (1772 nucleotides) under Lactuca sativa (garden lettuce). Its description in RNAcentral is "long non-coding RNA (LSAT_LNC000006)". The record is from RNAcentral. Lineage: Eukaryota; Viridiplantae; Streptophyta; Magnoliopsida; Asterales; Asteraceae.
CUUUAGUAUCAUGUCAUAUGAUCAUCUUAAUGAUUAAGAGACCUUAUGAUGCGGGCCCUAGUGUGGAGGAUCGGUCCCUUGCGUUCCUAGAGGCCCACGAUCGUGUGACUAAAGGGGCUUCAUGAAAAUGGCCAUAACUUUGGCUACGAAUCUCCGUUUUGGGCCUACGACCAGUCAAAUCGAAGCUUGGAGCAAGGAGCACAUCUAGAUAAGUCCCCAAAGGGGACUUACCCAUUUUUGAGUCCAUAAAUUGCUUUCUAAAUGGAGUUAUGAGCAAUUUUUGUUAUUUUUCCUUAAUUUUUGGGUUUUGUUUUUGGGUUUGUAUUUGGCCCAUGGACUUUUAGGGUUUCAUUUUAAUUUCUGCUUCUUAUUUAACUGUUUUUGAUGUAAUUUGGAUGGUCAAUCAUCAAUUUUAUGAACUUUCGAUUUUCUCCCAAAUUCUGUGUGUUAACCCAGAUUUUGAAGCCAAUCCCACGGUAUUCGUAGAAUCAACGUGGUUUUGAAGAGAUUGUCCUGGCUAUUCUUUUAGAAUCAACAGGUUCAUUCUUGGUUAUCUUUGUGUUGUUUUUUUGCGCUGCAUCACCUUAUCACAAUUCAUCCUCUAAGUGCAUUCUGAUAGCUAAUAAGAGGAGCUAUGAAUUGUUGAAGUGGUCAAAUCAAGAAGAUGAGUCAUAAUUUGUUCCAAAACAAGUCUUAGAGUCAUACUCCAAGACUGUAAGUUGAGUGACAUAUCUUAAAGGAAGGUUUCUUAACACUAGUCAAAUGUAAGAGUAAAAGUUUUCUACUCCUAUACAUUUGAAAUUGGUAAGUUGUGAUGUAACUAAGGCCAAUUGUGUGAAGUGUUUAUCUUGAUUAGAAUCCACACUAUCUCUUGAAUAUCUGACAAGAAAGUCUUAUAUGUCAAGAGGACAGUGGGAGUCUUAAAGGUAUUGAAAGUCUCAAGAACUAAUCAAGAAUAAAACAUGUAAGUUUAUCGCUAGCACACAACGUGAGGUUUAUAACCUAACGUGUUGACAUAUUUCUAUUUCUGUGUCAUUCCAGUUAAAUUUGAUUUUGCAUAUGAGUUCUUAGAGAUCUCAAUUGGUUGCAUAACAACUUGGAAGCAAUGGCAGGCUUUUGUGCUGCUAGGUGGCAAGAAGUUAACAUUGCACAAGUUCAAUCCAUAAGAGUUUGGAUUUGUCACUAACCUUGUGUUGUGAUUAUGGUUUUGACAAUUCACAUGGAUAACAACAUAUACACCAUUAAAUAUAAGUGUCAUAAGGGUUCUCUCUGAUUCAUGAAAAUGAUGGUUAGGAAACACUUUCACUAAGUAGAUUUUAACUAGAUAGCAAUUGUGAUAUUUGCAUUCUCAAAGUCCUUAGUGGAGCAUGUGUGGUUAACCGACACACUAACCUGGACUUGUGAAAAGUGGCAAAAGGUCUAAACGAUUGAGACUAUGAUUACGACAUCCCUUUUCAUAGUUCUUAAAAUUGUUUAGACACACCUAUGAGCUAUCUAAGAUAAGGUGUAUGAUAUUGAUAAAGUUUUAUCAAAGCAAUCUAGUAUCAGAAAUCUGAACUUUUGUAAGAAAGUCAAUAAAGUAUUGAUUUCUAUAAGUCCAGUUGAUUUCUGAGUACAUGUCAAAGCUAGUGGGAGUAUAAAUGUUAUGCUAAUACUCAUCAUGUUAGUGGGAGCAUGAUAAUUAUGAUAAGUAUUGCAAGUUAGUAAUGUUAAUUAUAGAAAACAAAAGUUUCAAUUCGUGAGGCUGCAGGGGUUGAAAAAGUUGUUUUGCU